Molecule: non-coding RNA, 28 nt
Filed under: Mus musculus (house mouse)
Lineage: Eukaryota; Metazoa; Chordata; Mammalia; Rodentia; Muridae
Also listed under: 1 other name
Source: RNAcentral
UGGCUUUGUGCUGAACACACCUUCUCCA